RNAcentral lists this long non-coding RNA (340 nucleotides) under Arabidopsis lyrata. Its description in RNAcentral is "long non-coding RNA (ALYR_LNC002855)". The record is from RNAcentral. Lineage: Eukaryota; Viridiplantae; Streptophyta; Magnoliopsida; Brassicales; Brassicaceae.
ACUCUUCUCUACACAAUUUUGCUGCUGCUACUCCAGGUAGACUGACAGAGAUGCCAAUUUGUCUUCCCGGGCUAAACAUUUCUUCUCGGUUUUGUCUGCAGAUACGGAAGGGACUGCGUCGAGCCUGCAAUCAAACCUGGAGAAACAGUUCUGGUAACAUGAGCUACUAUUAAUUUUGAUUGUGUGGAUGCAUUUGAAAUUGCAGACGUAAUGCAAAUUCAACAUCUUUUGCAUUUGUGUCUUCAGGUUGCUAUAAAGGGAGUUACCUGGCUGCUGCAGAAAUUUCCUCAACUGGCUGACCAAUUCUGAUGUAACUAUAACGCUCUUGCUUGAUGACGUG